This 1506-nucleotide long non-coding RNA is filed under the name Cyanistes caeruleus (blue tit). Its description in RNAcentral is "lncRNA (ENSCCEG00000007650.1)". The record is from RNAcentral. Lineage: Eukaryota; Metazoa; Chordata; Aves; Passeriformes; Paridae.
GUCCUCCCAGCAGACUGUUUGCUUCUGUUUAAGAGCUGCCUUUGGUGAGGAGAUGAGGGUGAGCUGCCCAGCCUGGGGAAGCUGGUGAUGGCAAGGGAAAGCCUGGGGGAGCUGGCACAAACCUUAAUUUGAUCUCAUGCCCAGGCCUAUUAACCCUUCUCCUAAUGGUCCCCCCACUGAGGAGUCGGAAACACAUUUCCUUCCAUCCUGUCCCUGACUUGAUGCCAUCACAGUCUUUUAAAAGAUUUACAUCAAAGAUGUUGAAUUGUGAAACAGAUUUCUAGAAAAAAAGAGGAUCAAAGUUUGCUUCCAUAGUGCCCUCAGCUGAGCUGAGGAGAGUGCUUGGAGAGUUUAGGGUGGAGGUGUCUGUCAGCGUGGGGUUUCUGAGGAUUUAUACUUAUGGAGCUAAAAGAACUACUUUAUCUGUGCCUAUUGCCUCUUAGAAUGCAGUGUGAAAACUCCUUUUGCCUCCUUUGGGAAAACAUUGUGGGUGUUAUUUCCCUGUAUUUGGGCCUGAGAUUGUAGAUGACAGAUUUUGCAAGGAGACUCAAUUAGCUCUUAGGUAAAUCUUGCUGGAGACCACUUUUAUAAAAUAAAUUAUUCAGGAGGGUUAUUUCAGUUUAUAAGGAACCUGGGAAACUUUUGUCUGAUCACUGGCAUGAGGGCCAAAACUGAUGUGUUUUAAUUUUGUCUCUGAAGCUGAGUCCAUCUCUGGCACUGGAAAACCUGUUUCCCUUUCUUCAUCAGCUUUCCCCACCUUCAAGUCUUUGUUUCAACAGUUCCAGAGCUUUGUACCAUAGCGGAAGACUCACAGGAGGCAGAUAUUCCUAAUGAGGGAAUGUUUUGCUGUUUUGCAAAUCCUAUAUGAGUUCUUUUGCUUUGGAGAGAAGCCAAGAUGAUACAUGCACUUCUAUUACUGGAAGAUUUCUCUCUAUGUGUCUAGAUUUACAUGAAGUACUUCUUACUUCUUGUGAGUAUUUUAUUUCCUUUUUAAAAUUUUAUUGCUACAAAAAUGCUUCAAAAAUUUAGUUCUGUCUCCAAAUUACUGUACAGUAAGUGCAUUAUUAUAAUUGCUAUUUCCCAGAUGAGGAAAACCAGUCUGAUAAAGAUUAAAGUUCCAAUUCAAGGAGAGGCAGAAACUUAAGCACAUCUUUUAGUGUUCCUGUGAUUUUGGCAUAAGCAAUUGUGAAGAGUUUCUCUGGGAUGCUGUCAGAGGUGAAAACAGAAUAUGCCUUGAAUUGCAGACAGUACCUCAGCCACAGUACUGCAAAUUUUUCUUGUUAUACUUGAUAAAAAAUGUGAUGCAAUGGGAUUGUCAUAGAGGAGAGAGAUUUAUUGUUGUAGCUAGUUACUCAAUAUAUAUACUAUGGUAUUGAACCUCAUUUUAGCAUGGAGGUCAAUGAAGUUCUAACAUUUUCCUUUAGCUUUGUAGGUUUCUGCAGAAGUGUGCAGCAUCUUUUCUUUGGUCAGGUGCCUUGGAAAUAAAGUCAGAGAGAUAAAUCUGCA